This 543-nucleotide ribosomal RNA is filed under the name uncultured cyanobacterium. RNAcentral describes it as "bacterial SSU rRNA". It matches the Rfam family "Bacterial small subunit ribosomal RNA", at positions 221 to 780 of the family's 1533-position model. Lineage: Bacteria; Bacillati; Cyanobacteriota. The record is from RNAcentral.
AUGGAGGAGCUCGCGACUGAUUAGCUAGUUGGUGGGGUAAGAGCUUACCAAGGCGACGAUCAGUAGCUGGUCUGAGAGGAUGAUCAGCCACACUGGGACUGAGACACGGCCCAGACUCCUACGGGAGGCAGCAGUGGGGAAUUUUCCGCAAUGGGGGCAACCCUGACGGAGCAACGCCGCGUGAGGGAAGAAUGGUUGUGGCCAGUAAACCUCUUUUAAUAGGGAAGAAUUCUGACGGUACCUAUUGAAUAAGCAUCGGCUAACUCCGUGCCAGCAGCCGCGGUAAUACGGAGGAUGCAAGCGUUAUCCGGAAUUAUUGGGCGUAAAGCGUCCGCAGGUGGUUAGUCAAGUCAGCUGUAAAAGACUCAGGCUUAACUUGGGAUGUGCAGUUGAAACUGAUUGACUAGAGUACGGUAGGGGUAGAGGGAAUUCCUAGUGUAGCGGUGAAAUGCGUAGAUAUUAGGAAGAACACCAGUGGCGAAGGCGCUCUACUGGGCCUGUACUGACACUGAGGGACGAAAGCUAGGGGAGCGAAAGGGAUUA